UACGUAGGGGGCGAGCGUUGUCCGGAAUGAUUGGGCGUAAAGGGCGUGUAGGCGGUUCAUUAAGUCUGAAGUGAAAGUCCUUUUUUCAAGGGAGGAAUUGCUUUGGAUACUGGAGAACUAGAGUGCAGGAGAGGUUAUCGGAAUUCCCGGUGUAGCGGUGAAAUGCGUAGAGAUCGGGAGGAACACCAGUGGCGAAGGCGGGUAACUGGACUGCAACUGACGCUGAGGCGCGAAAGUGUGGGGAGCAAAC
Molecule: ribosomal RNA, 250 nt
Filed under: uncultured prokaryote
Description: partial 16S ribosomal RNA
Rfam family: Bacterial small subunit ribosomal RNA
Source: RNAcentral